UACGGGGGGGGCAAGCGUUGUUCGGAAUUACUGGGCGUAAAGGGCUCGUAGGUGGCCAACUAAGUCGGACGUGAAAUCCCUCAGCUUAACUGGGGAACUGCGUCCGAUACUGGAUGGCUUGAGUUUGGGAGAGGGAUGCGGAAUUCCAGGUGUAGCGGUGAAAUGCGCAGAUAUCAGGAGGAACACCGGUGGCGAAGGCGGGUCUCUGGGCAACAACUAACGCUGAGGAGCGAAAGCGUGGGGAGCGAACAGG
This 253-nucleotide ribosomal RNA is filed under the name uncultured bacterium. RNAcentral's name for it is "partial 16S ribosomal RNA". It matches the Rfam family "Bacterial small subunit ribosomal RNA", at positions 524 to 776 of the family's 1533-position model. The record is from RNAcentral.